RNAcentral lists this ribosomal RNA (465 nucleotides) under Vreelandella stevensii. RNAcentral describes it as "partial 16S ribosomal RNA". It matches the Rfam family "Bacterial small subunit ribosomal RNA", at positions 338 to 795 of the family's 1533-position model. Lineage: Bacteria; Pseudomonadati; Pseudomonadota; Gammaproteobacteria; Oceanospirillales; Halomonadaceae. The record is from RNAcentral.
CCUACGGGGGUCUGCAGUGGGGAAUAUUGGACAAUGGGGGGAACCCUGAUCCAGCCAUGCCGCGUGUGUGAAGAAGGCCCUCGGGUUGUAAAGCACUUUCAGUGAGGAAGAACGCCUGGUGGUUAAUACCCAUCAGGAAAGACAUCACUCACAGAAGAAGCACCGGCUAACUCCGUGCCAGCAGCCGCGGUAAUACGGAGGGUGCGAGCGUUAAUCGGAAUUACUGGGCGUAAAGCGCGCGUAGGUGGCUUGAUAAGCCGGUUGUGAAAGCCCCGGGCUCAACCUGGGAACGGCAUCCGGAACUGUCAAGCUAGAGUGCAGGAGAGGAAGGUAGAAUUCCCGGUGUAGCGGUGAAAUGCGUAGAGAUCGGGAGGAAUACCAGUGGCGAAGGCGGCCUUCUGGACUGACACUGACACUGAGGUGCGAAAGCGUGGGUAGCAAACAGGAUUAGAUACCCUAGUAGUC